This 1014-nucleotide long non-coding RNA is filed under the name Malus domestica (apple). Its description in RNAcentral is "long non-coding RNA (MDOM_LNC004932)". Lineage: Eukaryota; Viridiplantae; Streptophyta; Magnoliopsida; Rosales; Rosaceae. The record is from RNAcentral.
AAAAUCUUCCUUCUUAUUUAUUCACUUAUAUAUGUUCCCAAACAUAUUAUGAUAGAUCAAAUAAUAAUUCAAAGUCCAAAAUUUAGUUAUGGACAAAAAUACAAGCAAUUCACCAGUACUGAAGUUGCUACAAAAACUGGAAUCUUCCCCAGCCUAGAAAUCCAACAAAGCUUCGCCUCCUUUUCUCUAUCAAAUUUUUGCAGCUGCUGCUUCUCUCCAAUGGAGCUGAAUUUUGGACACCCUCUAGUUCUUGAGCAGAUGAACAACUUUCAAGAAGGAACCAUUUCUGUUUGAGCCACGGAAAUUAAAGUGUUGAAGCUCCAAGCAUGACAGUCGGAUUCUUGCAGAUUUCGAAGCUGCUGUGAUGUUUCGAAGAUCUGGAAAUAUUUAACCAUUAGUUCAUUCUGAAUUUUUGAUAUGUUAUGAAAGAGACGAUGAGGAACAACUUCAAUGAAGAAAGCAUGCUGAUCUGAGCAAGAGAAAAUGGAGUUUCAAAGCUCACAACAAAUCUGACGGGUUGACAGAAAAAUAAUAACCAGUCAUUCAUCAUACCUGAAUUUCUUGAGUUAUACAGCUCCGAGGGAUCUCAAAUUUGGAUAUGUUGUAGUUCACAAGCUGAGGAAAAACUUCAAUGAAGAAAGCAUGCUUAUUUGAGCAAGAGAAAAUAGAGUUUCAAAGCUCACAACAAAUCUGACGGGUUGACAGACAAAUGAUAAACAGUCACUCAUCAUACCUGGAUUUCUGGAGUUAUACUGCUCCGAGGGACCUCAAAUUUGGAUAUGUUGUAGUUCACAAGUUAAGGAACAACUUCGAUGAAGAAAGUAUGUUGAUCUGAGUAAGAGAAAAUGGAGUUUUUGAAGCUCACAACAAGUCUGACGCGUUGAUAUACAAAUGACGAACAAUCACUCAUCAUACCUGAAUUUCUGGAGUUGUACUGCUCCGAUGGAUCUCCAAUUCGGAUAUGUUGUAGUUCACGAGCUAAGGAACAACUUUCAUGAAGAUGGUUUUGCGAUC